This is a long non-coding RNA of Centruroides sculpturatus (bark scorpion), 430 nucleotides long. RefSeq lists it as uncharacterized. The transcript has 3 exons. NCBI's taxonomy places the organism in Eukaryota, Metazoa, Arthropoda, Arachnida, Scorpiones, Buthidae. The record is from RefSeq and is a predicted model, not a curated record.
AUCAGGUAACUAGAGCACCUUCCUCCGUCGAGAAUCGUUAACAAAUCACAGAACGGCAAGACGUUUCAGCGACCUGUUUUCCAGUCAGGUUUUAGCAGCGCACACCAGACAGGAUAGGUACAGGUUUCGUUGACGGUUAACAAGUUACAAGCAGUGGCGCCUUCAAUGCCAACAUUGACUGAGAAACCCAGAUAAAGGACAAAGAUUUAUCCCAGACGAAUAUACAGUACGAAAUAAUCGAGAAAACACAUUUACCAACAGUUGCGACGACAUUUAAAUCUGAUGUAUGUUAUGCCAACUCUUAAGAUCCGACGAUGUGUUGUAUAUCGACUGUUAAUUUAAAUAUUAUCCUAGUCAGUUGUCUCGACAAUAGUGUGAAGAAGAGGGCGGCUUUUCAAAGAUGUCUUUCGAGAACCAAACCUUAUAUAUA